RNAcentral lists this long non-coding RNA (408 nucleotides) under Zonotrichia albicollis (white-throated sparrow). RNAcentral's name for it is "lncRNA (ENSZALG00000005707.1)". Lineage: Eukaryota; Metazoa; Chordata; Aves; Passeriformes; Passerellidae. The record is from RNAcentral.
AAGGGCAGGAGAUAAAUAUGAGGCAACAUAAAAGGGCCUUGAUCUCCAGUUUGUAAAGAUGACGUGAUCUGUGGUGUGAAAGAAAAGAAAUACUUUGCAUUUUUUGAAAUGGCCAUGAGGAGAGGACCAGGCUACAUCUCAGAAAUCAAUAUCACAUUUUAUGCCUGCUGCACCCUUCACGAAGAAUCAAGACAACAUUGAUUCAAGACACCAGAAGAUCUAACUAAGUCAGAAUGUCUCAGUUACAGUCCAGAUUUCUAUUUAUUACCUACCUCACCGAGAAAGACAAGCCUUGUGCAGGCAUUUGUCACAAGCCAAAUUUGGAGCAAAUUCUCUGCAGAAGAAACGAGGAAUGAAGAGUGGGCAAGACUGUGUUGGUGUUUCUGUUCAUCUUGAAGGAGGGAACCU